UACGGGAGGCAGCAGUAGGGAAUCUUCCGCAAUGGACGAAAGUCUGACGGAGCAACGCCGCGUGAACGAUGAAGGCUUUCGGGUCGUAAAGCUCUGUUGUUAGGGAAGAACAAGUACCGGAGUAACUGCCGGUACCUUGACGGUACCUAACCAGAAAGCCACGGCUAACUACGUGCCAGCAGCCGCGGUAAUACGUAGGUGGCAAGCGUUGUCCGGAAUUAUUGGGCGUAAAGCGCGCGCAGGCGGUCCUUUUAAGUCUGAUGUGAAAGCCCACGGCUCAACCGUGGAGGGUCAUUGGAAACUGGGGACUUGAGUGCAGAAGAGGAGAGUGGAAUUCCACGUGUAGCGGUGAAAUGCGUAGAGAUGUGGAGGAACACCAGUGGCGAAGGCGACUCUCUGGUCUGUAACUGACGCUGAGGCGCGAAAGCGUGGGAGCGAACAGGGAUUAGAUACC
RNAcentral lists this ribosomal RNA (454 nucleotides) under uncultured bacterium. RNAcentral describes it as "bacterial SSU rRNA". It matches the Rfam family "Bacterial small subunit ribosomal RNA", at positions 340 to 786 of the family's 1533-position model. The record is from RNAcentral.